CAUGGUCUUAGCUUGCUAAGGACGAUGGCGACCGGCGCACGGGUGAGUAACACGUAUCCAACCUGCCGUCUACUCUUGGACAGCCUUCUGAAAGGAAGAUUAAUACAAGAUGGCAUCAUGAGUCCGCAUGUUCACAUGAUUAAAGGUAUUCCGGUAGACGAUGGGGAUGCGUUCCAUUAGAUAGUAGGCGGGGUAACGGGCCACCUAGUCUUCGAUGGAUAGGGGUUCUGAGAGGAAGGUCCCCCACAUUGGAACUGAGACACGGUCCAAACUCCUACGGGAGGCAGCAGUGAGGAAUAUUGGUCAAUGGGCGCAGGCCCUGAACCAGCCAAGUAGCGUGAAGGAUGACUGGCCUAUGGGUUGGUAAACUUCUUUUAUAAAGGAAUAAAGUCGGGGUAUGUAUACCCGUUUGCAUGUACUUCAUGAAUAAGGAUCGGCUAACUCCGUGCCAGCAGACCGGGGAAUAACGGAGGAUCCGAGCGUUAUCCGGAUUUAUUGGGUUUAAAGGGAGCGUAGAUGGAUGUUUAAGUCAGUUGUGAAAGUUUGCGGCUCAACCGUAAAAUUGCAGUUGAUACUGGAUAUCUUGAGUGCAGUUGAGGCAGGCGGAAUUCGUGGUGUAGCGGUGAAAUGCUUAGAUAUCACGAAGACUCCGAUUGCGAAGGCAGCCUGCUAAGCUGCAACUGACAUUGAGGCUCGAAAGUGUG
RNAcentral lists this ribosomal RNA (704 nucleotides) under uncultured Bacteroidales bacterium. Its description in RNAcentral is "bacterial SSU rRNA". It matches the Rfam family "Bacterial small subunit ribosomal RNA", at positions 63 to 763 of the family's 1533-position model. The record is from RNAcentral. Lineage: Bacteria; Pseudomonadati; Bacteroidota; Bacteroidia; Bacteroidales.